Transfer RNA from Felis catus (domestic cat), 85 nucleotides. It matches the Rfam family "tRNA". Rfam says of the family: Transfer RNA (tRNA) molecules are approximately 80 nucleotides in length. Lineage: Eukaryota; Metazoa; Chordata; Mammalia; Carnivora; Felidae. The record is from Rfam.
UCCUGGGUGGCUCAGUCGGUUGAGCGUCUGACUUCGGCUCAGGUCAUGAUUUCACGGUCCGUGGGUUCGAACCCCGCGUCGGGCU